UUAUUUUUGUAUCAAAGCUAACAUAUAAGAAUUAGGAGCUUCUUCUUCAAUAAAAUAUAAUUGUUACGCUUGGCUUCUGAAAUAA
Brassica rapa (field mustard) is the source of this 85-nucleotide non-coding RNA. The record is from Rfam. NCBI's taxonomy places the organism in Eukaryota, Viridiplantae, Streptophyta, Magnoliopsida, Brassicales, Brassicaceae.